AGAGUUUGAUCAUGGCUCAGAUUGAACGCUGGCGGCAGGCCUAACACAUGCAAGUCGAGCGGUAGCACAGAGAGCUUGCUCUCGGGUGACGAGCGGCGGACGGGUGAGUAAUGUCUGGGAAACUGCCUGAUGGAGGGGGAUAACUACUGGAAACGGUAGCUAAUACCGCAUAACGUCGCAAGACCAAAGUGGGGGACCUUCGGGCCUCAUGCCAUCAGAUGUGCCCAGAUGGGAUUAGCUAGUAGGUGGGGUAACGGCUCACCUAGGCGACGAUCCCUAGCUGGUCUGAGAGGAUGACCAGCCACACUGGAACUGAGACACGGUCCAGACUCCUACGGGAGGCAGCAGUGGGGAAUAUUGCACAAUGGGCGCAAGCCUGAUGCAGCCAUGCCGCGUGUGUGAAGAAGGCCUUCGGGUUGUAAAGCACUUUCAGCGGGGAGGAAGGCGGUGGGGUUAAUAACCUCACCGAUUGACGUUACCCGCAGAAGAAGCACCGGCUAACUCCGUGCCAGCAGCCGCGGUAAUACGGAGGGUGCAAGCGUUAAUCGGAAUUACUGGGCGUAAAGCGCACGCAGGCGGUCUGUCAAGUCGGAUGUGAAAUCCCCGGGCUCAACCUGGGAACUGCAUUCGAAACUGGCAGGCUAGAGUCCUGUAGAGGGGGGUAGAAUUCCAGGUGUAGCGGUGAAAUGCGUAGAGAUCUGGAGGAAUACCGGUGGCGAAGGCGGCCCCCUGGACAAAGACUGACGCUCAGGUGCGAAAGCGUGGGGAGCAAACAGGAUUAGAUACCCUGGUAGUCCACGCUGUAAACGAUGUCGAUUUGGAGGUUGUGCCCUUGAGGCGUGGCUUCCGGAGCUAACGCGUUAAAUCGACCGCCUGGGGAGUACGGCCGCAAGGUUAAAACUCAAAUGAAUUGACGGGGGCCCGCACAAGCGGUGGAGCAUGUGGUUUAAUUCGAUGCAACGCGAAGAACCUUACCUGGUCUUGACAUCCACAGAACUUUCCAGAGAUGGAUUGGUGCCUUCGGGAACUGUGAGACAGGUGCUGCAUGGCUGUCGUCAGCUCGUGUUGUGAAAUGUUGGGUUAAGUCCCGCAACGAGCGCAACCCUUAUCCUUUGUUGCCAGCGGUUAGGCCGGGAACUCAAAGGAGACUGCCAGUGAUAAACUGGAGGAAGGUGGGGAUGACGUCAAGUCAUCAUGGCCCUUACGACCAGGGCUACACACGUGCUACAAUGGCAUAUACAAAGAGAAGCGACCUCGCGAGAGCAAGCGGACCUCAUAAAGUAUGUCGUAGUCCGGAUUGGAGUCUGCAACUCGACUCCAUGAAGUCGGAAUCGCUAGUAAUCGUAGAUCAGAAUGCUACGGUGAAUACGUUCCCGGGCCUUGUACACACCGCCCGUCACACCAUGGGAGUGGGUUGCAAAAGAAGUAGGUAGCUUAACCUUCGGGAGGGCGCUUACCACUUUGUGAUUCAUGACUGGGGUGAAGUCGUAACAAGGUAACC
This 1501-nucleotide ribosomal RNA is filed under the name uncultured Klebsiella sp. RNAcentral's name for it is "bacterial SSU rRNA". It matches the Rfam family "Bacterial small subunit ribosomal RNA". The record is from RNAcentral. Lineage: Bacteria; Pseudomonadati; Pseudomonadota; Gammaproteobacteria; Enterobacterales; Enterobacteriaceae.